GUAAUACUCCCUCCGUCUGGAAAUACUUGUCCUAAAAAUGGAUAAAAUAAAUGUAUAUAUAACUAAAAUAAGUCUAGAUACAUCCAUUUCAAGGACAAGUAUUUCCGGUCAGAGGGGGUAUGUA
Molecule: non-coding RNA, 124 nt
Organism: Triticum aestivum (bread wheat)
Lineage: Eukaryota; Viridiplantae; Streptophyta; Magnoliopsida; Poales; Poaceae
Source: Rfam